Molecule: long non-coding RNA, 1115 nt
Filed under: Lynx pardinus (Iberian lynx)
Lineage: Eukaryota; Metazoa; Chordata; Mammalia; Carnivora; Felidae
Source: RNAcentral
GACUCUGGAACAUGCGGAGCGUUAUCUGUCUCCCCGGAGGAUCCGGAGGAACUGUCUAUCUCUGGCCUGGGAGCUGUUUCCGGCUGGUGGGGGGCGGCUUAUCUGGUGAGGGGGUGCCCUUUCCCCCAAGCACUCAGGAAAUGGCCUCUGGAUUCUUGACCCCGGGGAACCCAGGCUUCUUCCGCCCCAGCUGGCUCCCCUCGGGACGAUGGGCCCGGAUCAGACGCUUCCCUCCUCCGGUUCCUCAGAUCCUGCCUUAUCCCUCGCCCACCCUACCUUUUCUUUCUAAUCUGCCUACAGGAUUCACAGUCCUGGCAAAGCAGGUGAUGGGCGGGGGGCCACAUAUCCGGCGGGCUGUGGGGUAGGCUUUAGGGACCACAGCUACGGGACGAAGGGUCACCCCGCUUCUCUCUGACCCCUCGGAGUUAGAUGACUCCGGGAAGGUGCGAGACCCGCAGCUGGUGCGCAUGUUCCUCAUGAUGCACCCUUGGUACAUCCCUUCUUCGCAGCUGGCGGCAAAACUGCUCCACAUAUAUCCUUCGCGGGCCUCGCCGUGGGCCCUGCAGCCCUGCUUGGGGGAGCCAGGCCGCCCAGCCCAGGCCAAGAAUGGGCUCCGCUCCUAGAGCAUGGGCCCCUUAUAAGCCCUAGAAUCCAGGCUUGGCGCAACCUUGCUCCAGGGCCGAGGCUCCGCCCCUUCCCGCCUCUCGAGUCAGGCCCCGCCCCCGCCCCUCCUCAACCUGGGCUCUCUACAGCCUAGGACCUGUCCCUACUCCCAGCCCAAGUCCCUCCUCCGGCCUCCUUCCCGGAACCCAGGUCAUGCGUUCAGCCACCCCUUAGAACCUAGCCCCGUUCCUAGCUGUGCACCCUCCCCAAACUCGCCCCUCACCCCCUCUUCAGCCCCUUUCCUACAGGCCCCACCCCAGGUCCCGCCCCCAGCAUCUCUCCUAGGACCAGGCCCCUCCCACAGUCUCCCUCCAGAAGCCGGGACCCAUCUCCUGCCUCCCUUUCUAGAAUUAGUCUCCAUCCUCGUUUUCCUUAACUCUCCUUCACCUACCAACAAUCCCGGAAGGACAACUCCAAUUCGCUGCAGGUGAAAACAUGCCACCUGGUCAGGU